Molecule: long non-coding RNA, 795 nt
Filed under: Mytilus galloprovincialis (Mediterranean mussel)
Lineage: Eukaryota; Metazoa; Mollusca; Bivalvia; Mytilida; Mytilidae
Source: RNAcentral
UUUCAGAGAAACAAGCCUUCAACAAAAGACAUCAUUGAUAAACAGCUUGCUUUAAAGGAGGAACUAAAGUUAGAUUUGUUGACAUUGGAUGACGAAAUAGAGGAUGAAGGUAAAUUAUAUCCGAAAUCCCCUUUUUCUAUCUAUCUUUAGUUUUCAUUUUUUAACCUUGGUGGCUUUUCGGUUCAUAAUGAAUCUUGCCAGAUGCUGGAUAUCAACAAUAAUAUAUCAGUGUCACUCAUUUUUGUACGUAAAACUUUAUAAAAAUCAAAAAAAAAAUCAUCACUGAAACUUUGAAUACCAGUACAAAUUGUUUGUUUCAUAAUAUUACAAUUAUGUACUCAACUUGCACACCCAAACUAGUUUUGCUGUGAUUGAUAAUGAGAUUGUAAUUUAAAAGGCUUUAGGCGAGACUUAAAAAAAAAUGUCUGACUUUUACUGUUCCUCUGUUAAUAAAGUUCCAAUUUCUUUUAGAUAUACCAGACACAUCAAGGACAUCGGACAGUGAAUGGUUCAGUAUUAGUUUAAGUGACACAGAAGAAACUCCAAGACCACAUUUAAGGCCAUUCUUUUCAUCAGUAGUGGAAGAUAUACACGUUUCAACGAUUACUAGUAAAACAAAAGAUUCUGCAAUAGAUAUAGAAGUUGACUUUCAAUCCAAACCUUGCAGUAGAUUCACGAGCUUUCGACAGUGGUUCUGUCAACUAUUUUGUUGUCAUAGCAAACCUGAUGAAGAUUUUGAACAUUGAUUAAUUAUUUUCGUUUUUUAUUUGUUUAUUUAUUUAAUAAAUCUUUUAU